CAUUACCGAGUUUACAACUCCCAAACCCAAUGUGAACGUUACCAAACUGUUGCCUCGGCGGGAUCUCUGCCCCGGGUGCGUCGCAGCCCCGGACCAAGGCGCCCGCCGGAGGACCAACCAAAACUCUUAUUGUAUACCCCCUCGCGGGUUUUUUUAUAAUCUGAGCCUUCUCGGCGCCUCUCGUAGGCGUUUCGAAAAUGAAUCAAAACUUUCAACAACGGAUCUCUUGGUUCUGGCAUCGAUGAAGAACGCAGCGAAAUGCGAUAAGUAAUGUGAAUUGCAGAAUUCAGUGAAUCAUCGAAUCUUUGAACGCACAUUGCGCCCGCCAGUAUUCUGGCGGGCAUGCCUGUCCGAGCGUCAUUUCAACCCUCGAACCCCUCCGGGGGGUCGGCGUUGGGGAUCGGCCCUCCCUUAGCGGGUGGCCGUCUCCGAAAUACAGUGGCGGUCUCGCCGCAGCCUCUCCUGCGCAGUAGUUUGCACACUCGCAUCGGGAGCGCGGCGCGUCCACAGCCGUUAAACACCCAACUUCUGAAAUGUUGACCUCGGAUC
Molecule: ribosomal RNA, 549 nt
Filed under: Trichoderma cf. harzianum ROG-2010
Lineage: Eukaryota; Fungi; Ascomycota; Sordariomycetes; Hypocreales; Hypocreaceae
Description: eukaryotic LSU rRNA
Rfam family: 5.8S ribosomal RNA (bases 207-360)
Source: RNAcentral